UACGGAGGGGGCUAGCGUUGCUCGGAAUCAUUGGGCGUAAAGAGCGUGUAGGCGGCCCGAUAAGUCCGCCGUGAAAGUCCAGGGCUCAACCCUGGAAUGCCGGUGGAAACUGUCGGGCUGGAGUCCGGAAGAGGCGAGUGGAAUUCCUGGUGUAGCGGUGAAAUGCGCAGAUAUCAGGAGGAACACCAAUGGCGAAGGCAGCUCGCUGGGACGGUACUGACGCUGAGACGCGAAAGCGUGGGGAGCAAACAGG
This 253-nucleotide ribosomal RNA is filed under the name uncultured bacterium. RNAcentral's name for it is "partial 16S ribosomal RNA". It matches the Rfam family "Bacterial small subunit ribosomal RNA", at positions 524 to 776 of the family's 1533-position model. The record is from RNAcentral.